UAUUGCACAUUACUAAGUUGCA
RNAcentral lists this microRNA (22 nucleotides) under Xenopus laevis (African clawed frog). RNAcentral describes it as "Xla-Mir-32_5p (mature (guide))". Lineage: Eukaryota; Metazoa; Chordata; Amphibia; Anura; Pipidae. The record is from RNAcentral. RNAcentral also lists the same sequence under 29 other names.